This 489-nucleotide ribosomal RNA is filed under the name uncultured bacterium. RNAcentral's name for it is "partial 16S ribosomal RNA". It matches the Rfam family "Bacterial small subunit ribosomal RNA", at positions 28 to 507 of the family's 1533-position model. The record is from RNAcentral.
GACGAACGCUGGCGGCGUGCUUAACACAUGCUAGUCGAACGGAAAGGCCCCCAUCUUGGUGGGGGUGCUCGAGUGGCGAACGGGUGAGUAACACGUGGGUGAUCUGCCCUGUACUUCGGGAUAAGCUUGGGAAACUGGGUCUAAUACCGGAUAGGACCAUGGUUUAGUGUCUCAUGGUGGAAAGAUUAUUGUUUUGGUGCAGGAUGAGCUCGCGGCCUAUCAGCUUGUUGGUGGGGUAAUGGCCUACCAAGGCGUCGACGGGUAGCCGGCCUGAGAGGGUGGACGGCCACAUUGGGACUGAGAUACGGCCCAGACUCCUACGGGAGGCAGCAGUGGGGAAUAUUGCACAAUGGGCGCAAGCCUGAUGCAGCGACGCCGCGUGGGGGAUGACGGCCUUCGGGUUGUAAACUCCUUUCGUUAGGGACGAAGCCGCACUUUUUUUGGGUGUGGUGACGGUACCUUUGUUAAGAAGCACCGGCUAACUACGUG